UACACGUAACAUUUUGGGAUUUACUCAAAACAAAAAGAAAUCAAUUCUCAAUCACGUGCUCAAUCAAAACGUACCUGCAUAUGAACCCCAUGCUCUUCCCCAAUUGAAACUGAAAUACACACUCUCACUGCAGUUCAAAUCGGCGUUCACUUGAUCCGGUCGAUCUCCGAACUCUUCAACCAGUCCGAUUUCCACAAGAAAACUCCCCAAUCUCCUUCUGCAACUACAACCCCUAGAUACCCACAAAGGUGCCCAACUUUUCCCUUCUUUCAGAGUAUCAAUUAUUUGUUCAAAUCUCUCAACUUUCCUUGUUAUAAUUCAAUUUCAAUUUGCUGCAUGUUGGAGCACAAAAAUUCGGGAGGAAGAUUACCCAACAAAAAUCUCCCUCCUUCGGUCCUUCCAUCUUCAAGAAGCCCUAGACGCAUCCAUCUUGCAAUCGAUUAUGGGAGAAGGGACCUGCAAAACAGAAAAACACUCCGACUCCCAAUUUGAUUAUUUGGUUCCAGCUGCCAUGAGAGGUGGUGAUAGUACCAAAAGAAUUUACUCUAGAAAAUCCCAGUCGACCUUGGGAGCAGUACCGGCCUCUGAGUUGAUGAAUAUUGAAAUUGAUGAUCUCCCGGAUGUUGUGUUGGUUGAAAUUCUUUGUCGGCUUCCAUGCUAUAAGUUUGUUUCAAAAUGCAAGUGCGUGUUCAAACGUUGGUGCAAUGUCAUGUCCGGUCCUUAUUUUCUUGGCCGCUUUCUAUGUCUCCAGAGUGAUCGUGAGCAAACACCAAUAAUUCGUACUCUGAUAACCAACAAAGGGGAGGAGUUCCUUACUAGAAUGUCAUCGUCCGCCAAGCCGCUAGCUCUGUUGUUUGAAAGACUCAUGAGUUCUCACCAUUUGGAACAAGAGCCGGUAGUGGUAGCUACGUAUAAUGACUUGGUUUUGUGCUGUACAACCUGGGGCUAUUAUCAACGUGAUUACUACAUCUGCAAUCCGUGCACAGUUCAGUGGGUUCCUGUUCCUCCCCCUCCUCGAGUUUACCGGUAUACACCAGUGGGAUUCAUGUGUGAUCUUCCCUACUAUAACUGUACGAAAGAUGAUCAGGGAGGAAGUUUCAUUCAGGUCAAUGCUGAGUAUAUGUGCACGAUAGUGAGAUUAAUUCUUCGUAAGAGAUCUGUCUGCAAACUCAAAGUGCAAAUCUUCUCCUCUGAUACCGGUGAAUGGAAAACAUCAACUAUAUCAAUUCCAUCAGGCUUUGUUUCAGACACCGUCCCUCUAGAGAGGAGCUUCAGUUACAAUGGCAUGCCGUAUUUUGUGGGUGAUGAACCUGGUGAUCAAAAUUUUCUUAUGGGGUUGGAUCCAUUCAUGAUCAACAAUAGUAACAGUGCUCUUAGUUUAUCUAGUACUAGCCGUAAUAGUACUAAUGAUGAUGAUAUCAUUGAUCACUAUAAAUGUCGUUUCAUUCGAUUUGAUGAUCCAAACUCUUUUCUACUUCGGUAUCUUGGUGAAUACAGAGGGUGUCUGCACAUGUGCGACUAUCAUGAUCAUACCUCUGCUCUUUUUGUUCGGGAGUUGAAAGAAGAAGAAAUGCAUGGAGGAGCUGGCAAAUUAUGUUUGGAAGGCAUGAUGAAGGAUUAUUCACUGGACAUAAAAAUGGUUCCGGGUUAUGAUAUUGUUGAUUUACAAUUUUUAGACCCCAAUAACGAGGAUAUUUAUAUAUAUACAUUGGCAAAGACAUUGUCAGGUACAACAUUCGAACAAGAGAUUGGUUAAAGCUUGUUGAAAACAUUCCCUAUGGGAAUUUCCAAUUGUGCUCCCUUGGUGGGCAACACCAGUUCCUAGACUACCGCCACACGGCCAACCUGCGGGAAUAAAUCUCUGAUCUCUGUAUGGAACUUGACGUUGUAGUGUGGAAUAUGGGUCAAAAAGGAUGUUGGAUGGAAGGCAAUGGGGUGAGAGUUGUGUAGUUCCAUGAGGAGGAUGUUGAAUCUGCUCGCUGCUGUGAGAAAGCUGAUGACACAGAAAGUGUACGUAGUUGUUUUACUUGUUUGCCGCUCAAGAAAAGCUUGGUUUCCUAGUAAGUGCAGCAGAAGAACUUAGCUUGAGAAACAAGGGGGGAAGCAGACUAGUCAACAAAGCUACAUGGUCGUACUAGAAAGGCCAAAUAACGUGUGCUGAAAUCCUUG
This is an RNA transcript of Rosa chinensis, 2169 nucleotides long. RefSeq lists it as uncharacterized. Lineage: Eukaryota; Viridiplantae; Streptophyta; Magnoliopsida; Rosales; Rosaceae. The record is from RefSeq and is a predicted model, not a curated record. The transcript has 3 exons.